AGUUCGACGGGUGGAAACUCCAGAUGGCUCAUUAAAACAGUUAUAAUUUAUUUGGCAAUAAAAAUUACACGGAUAACCGUAGUAACUUAGGGAUAAUACGUGCUCAGAUCUCCAAUCUCAGAUUGGAGUGUACAUAUUAGCCUAAAAUCAACAUUCGUUGAAUAAUAAUAUUUGUCGGAUCGCGUAAGCGCUGCUUGCGACAUGUCAUUCAAGUUUCUGACCUAUCAGCUUUCGACGGUAGAUUAUUGGCCUACCGUGGCUUUGACGGGUACGGGGAAUCAGGGUUCGAUUCCGGAGAGGCAGCCUGAGAAAAGGCUGCCACUUCUACGGUUGGUAGCAGGUGCGCAAAUUACCCAAUUCUGAUACAGAGAGGUAGUGACAAGAUAUAACGAUGCAAUCCGUUUAUCGAAUUGUAAUCGGAAUGAGGACAAUGUAAAAGCCUUAUCGAGUAUCAAGUGGAGGGCAAGUCUGGUGCCAGCAGCCGCGGUAAUACCAGCUCCACUAGCGUAUACUAAAGUUGCUGCUGUUAAAACGCUCGUAGUUGGAUAUCAGCCAGCAGGUCAUGCGCUGGUCAUGUUAAUGACCUAGGGCAAUGGCAGGUAAUCCCUGCUGACCUGUUGGCUUUUUUCAGGAAAGUUGGUCUGGUUACUCUUCGGAGUAAUUGGGUCGGCAGCUCCUGAUCGUUUACUUUGAGAAAAUUUGAGUGCUCAAAGCAGGCUUGCGCCUGAUGCAUUAGCAUGGAAAUAAUAAAACAAGACUUUGGCAUCGGCCGGGCGUAAGCUUUGCCCGAGUGUUUUGUUGCUUUGAGCCGAAGUAAUGAUUGAUAGAAGCAAUUGGGGGUGCUAGUAUCGCCGGGCCAGAGUGGAAUUCUUGAUUCCGUGAGACUAACUUAUGCGAAGCAUUCACCAGGUGUUUUCUUUAUCAGACUAAGUGGGGAUCGAGACGAUCAGAUACCGUCGUAGUCCAACCAUAACUAUGUCGACUAGUAUGCAUGUUGACUCCUCAGACCUCACGAGUAUCAAGUCUUUGACUCAGGGGAAGUAUGCCUCGCAAGGUUGAAACUUAG
RNAcentral lists this ribosomal RNA (1066 nucleotides) under uncultured eukaryote. RNAcentral's name for it is "bacterial SSU rRNA". It matches the Rfam family "Eukaryotic small subunit ribosomal RNA", at positions 62 to 1147 of the family's 1831-position model. The record is from RNAcentral.